AGUUUAUCUUCUAGAAGCUAGCAUCAAGGAAUGGGAGUUUGGCUGCUCACCCUGGGUGAUUUGUCAUUGAUUCACUUGUAAUGUGUUGUAGUUUGUUUAUGUUGGAGUGGUGAGGAUGUUGAGAGGUCAAAAUGUUGCCACAACGUGUAGGACCUGAGAAGCUUCAGAAGACCAGUAGUAUAGCUGUUGUUUGGUACUGCAGAUAGGCUAAGUGGAGGGGCCCUAUGAUGCCUCUUUUGCACUAUCAGGUGAGUUUGAUCGAGUGUUAGGUUGUGAUCCAAACAUUCACAUACAGAGCGAAAUAUUUUGGGUAUGAGAUGGACUGGCCCCCAUGCCUUGUACCCUAAUUAUUCGUUCUCGAAUGUCGGGGAGGUGGAUCGAUGUGUGUCUUA
Long non-coding RNA from Phragmites australis (common reed), 392 nucleotides. RefSeq lists it as uncharacterized. The record is from RefSeq and is a predicted model, not a curated record. Lineage: Eukaryota; Viridiplantae; Streptophyta; Magnoliopsida; Poales; Poaceae. The transcript has 2 exons.